AUCCUUUUGUAGUUCACAAGUAUGAUGACUAGGUAUUCACGCCACUGUAUGGCAUGUACCUCCCUAAAAUCUGUCAUGACCCUGGCAUGGUACCCAUCUGUGG
This is a small nucleolar RNA of Suricata suricatta (meerkat), 103 nucleotides long. The record is from Ensembl. NCBI's taxonomy places the organism in Eukaryota, Metazoa, Chordata, Mammalia, Carnivora, Herpestidae.